Aegilops tauschii subsp. strangulata is the source of this 867-nucleotide non-coding RNA. The record is from RefSeq and is a predicted model, not a curated record. NCBI's taxonomy places the organism in Eukaryota, Viridiplantae, Streptophyta, Magnoliopsida, Poales, Poaceae.
UCAUAGCAUAGUUAUGUUUUUUUUAUCGGCAAUUGUGUGCCAAAGAAAUUGCUCCAAAACGGAUGCGUGAACUUGAGGAGGAGGUUCCUGUUCUAUUUUGCAAGCUUGAGAAAAUGUUCCCACCAGGCUGCUUCAAUGUAAUGCAACACCUGAUAGUGCAUCUUCCAUAUGAGGCAAGGGUUGGCGGCCCUGUGGCAUAUCGUUGGAUGUAUGUUUUUGAGAGGGCAAUGCACUAUCUUCAUUUAAAAGUGCGAAACAAGGCAAGAGUGGAGGGUUCAAUCGUUGAAGCUUGUAUUGUGCAGGAGAUCACGAAUUGUGUUUCUCUUUACUUUAGUGAUCACGUUCGCACUAUAUGGAAGAAGAAUCCUCGAUAUAAUAAUGGAGGAACACACGUGCAGAAUGAUGGUUGCACCUUAGAUGUGUUUCAGCAUGUAGGAAACCUACAUGGGAGGCCUAUUGCCCGAGAACUAUCGCGUGACGAGUUGAAUGCAGCAAGGCUGUACAUUUUGACUAACUGCUCUGCUGUUGAUAGAUUUCAUGAGUAAGUGAUGAAUAAUUUGUAAUUUUAGAAUUGAAGUGUGCAAGAUGUUUAUAAUCAUACGCGGAUUUGCAGAACAUUUGAAGAUGAAAAAUAUGCAAUUCAUCCAAACUUGACAUCGGAGGGCCUUGAUGAAAUGAUGGCAUCCGAAUUUGUGGAAUGGUUCGAGAUUGCUUGCAAAGAAGAUCCCAAUUCUGAUGAGGACUUGUGGAAUUUAGCUAAUGGAUGCAGCUCUAGAGCCUAUUCCUAUAGCUCCUAUGAUGCGAAUGGCUUUCGCUUUAGAUCAGAGAUAUCUGAGGAAAAACAUACAAGGUUGAAAACGGUGAACA